Molecule: ribosomal RNA, 254 nt
Filed under: uncultured bacterium
Lineage: Bacteria
Description: partial 16S ribosomal RNA
Rfam family: Bacterial small subunit ribosomal RNA
Source: RNAcentral
UACGGGGGAUACAAGCGUUAUCCGGAUUUAUUGGGUUUAAAGGGUGCGUAGGCUGUGAGGUAAGUCAGCGGUGAAAUGCCCCCGCUCAACGGGGUGAAGUGCCAUUGAUACUGCCUUGCUGGAAUGCGGAUGCCGUGGGAGGAAUGUGUGGUGUAGCGGUGAAAUGCAUAGAUAUCACACAGAACACCGAUUGCGAAGGCAUCUCACGAAUCCGCGAUUGACGCUGAUGCACGAAAGCGUGGGUAUCAAACAGG